Molecule: small nuclear RNA, 92 nt
Filed under: Dasypus novemcinctus (nine-banded armadillo)
Lineage: Eukaryota; Metazoa; Chordata; Mammalia; Cingulata; Dasypodidae
Description: U5 spliceosomal RNA (ENSDNOG00000030340.1)
Rfam family: U5 spliceosomal RNA
About the family: U5 RNA is a component of both types of known spliceosome.
Source: RNAcentral
AUACUCUGGUUUCUCUUCAGACUGCAUAAAUCUUUCACCUUUUAUUAAAGAUUUCCAUGGAGAGAAACAAUUCUAAACAGUCAUCAAACAGC